GACGAACGCUGGCGGCGUGCCUAAUACAUGCAAGUAGAACGCACAGGAUGCACCGUAGUUUACUACACCGUAUUCUGUGAGUUGCGAACGGGUGAGUAACGCGUAGGUAACCUGCCUGGUAGCGGGGGAUAACUAUUGGAAACGAUAGCUAAUACCGCAUAAGAACAUUUACUGCAUGGUAGAUGUUUAAAAGGUGCAAAAGCAUCACUACCAGAUGGACCUGCGUUGUAUUAGCUAGUUGGUGAGGUAACGGCUCACCAAGGCAACGAUACAUAGCCGACCUGAGAGGGUGAUCGGCCACACUGGGACUGAGACACGGCCCAGACUCCUACGGGAGGCAGCAGUAGGGAAUCUUCGGCAAUGGGGGGAACCCUGACCGAGCAACGCCGCGUGAGUGAAGAAGGUUUUCUGGAUCGUAAAGCUCUGUUGUUAAGGAAGAACGUGUGUGAGAGUGGAAAGUUCACACAGUGACGGUACUUAACCAGAAAGGGACGGCUAACUACGUGCCAGCAGCCGCGGUAAUACGUAGGUCCCGAGCGUUGUCCGGAUUUAUUGGGCGUACAGCGUGCGCAGGCGGUUAGAUAAGUCUGAAGUGAAAGGCAGUGGCUCAACCAUUGUAGGCUUUGGAAACUGUUUAACUUGAGUGCAGAAGGGGAGAGUGGAAUUCCAUGUGUAGCGGUGAAAUGCGUAGAUAUAUGGAGGAACACCGGUGGCGAAAGCGGCUCUCUGGUCUGUAACUGACGCUGAGGCUCGAAAGCGUGGGGAGCGAACAGGAUUAGAUACCCUGGUAGUCCACGCCGUAAACGAUGAGUGCUAGGUGUUAGGUCCUUUCCGGGACUUAGUGCCGCAGCUAACGCAUUAAGCACUCCGCCUGGGGAGUACGACCGCAAGGUUGAAACUCAAAGGAAUUGACGGGGGCCCGCACAAGCGGUGGAGCAUGUGGUUUAAUUCGAAGCAACGCGAAGAACCUUACCAGGUCUUGACAUCCCUCUGACCACUCUAGAGAUAGAGUUUCCCUUCGGGGCAGAGGUGACAGGUGGUGCAUGGGUUGUCGUCAGCUCGUGUCGUGAGAUGUUGGGUUAAGU
This 1085-nucleotide ribosomal RNA is filed under the name Streptococcus constellatus. RNAcentral's name for it is "bacterial SSU rRNA". It matches the Rfam family "Bacterial small subunit ribosomal RNA", at positions 28 to 1085 of the family's 1533-position model. The record is from RNAcentral. Lineage: Bacteria; Bacillati; Bacillota; Bacilli; Lactobacillales; Streptococcaceae.